CUCCAACGAGCGCAACCCUGAUCUAGCCAUGCCGCGUGAGUGAUGAAGGCCUUAGGGUUGUAAAGCUCUUUCAGCUGUGAAGAUAAUGACGGUAGCAGCAGAAGAAGUCCCGGCUAACUCCGUGCCAGCAGCCGCGGUAAUACGGAGGGGACUAGCGUUGUUCGGAAUUACUGGGCGUAAAGCGCACGUAGGCGGAUCGGAAAGUUGGGGGUGAAAUCCCGGGGCUCAACCCCGGAACUGCCUUUGAUACUGGGUGUCUUGAGUGUGGAAGAGGUCAGUGGAAUUGCGAGUGUAGAGGUGAAAUUCGUAGAUAUUCGGAGGAACACCAGUGGCGAAGGCGGCUCACUGGCUCGAUACUGACGCUGAGGUGCGAAAGCGUGGGGAG
RNAcentral lists this ribosomal RNA (385 nucleotides) under uncultured bacterium. RNAcentral describes it as "bacterial SSU rRNA". It matches the Rfam family "Bacterial small subunit ribosomal RNA", at positions 363 to 768 of the family's 1533-position model. The record is from RNAcentral.